RNAcentral lists this ribosomal RNA (486 nucleotides) under uncultured bacterium. RNAcentral describes it as "bacterial SSU rRNA". It matches the Rfam family "Bacterial small subunit ribosomal RNA", at positions 28 to 476 of the family's 1533-position model. The record is from RNAcentral.
GAUAAACGCUGGCGGCGCACAUAAGACAUGCAAGUCGAACGGAAGUCGUUGUAAUGAAACAGAAAUGGACAGAGAACUUGUUCAAAGAAAGUGGAAGUAGACUUACAACAAUGGCUUUAGUGGCGGACUGGUGAGUAACGCGUAAGGAACCUGCCUUUUAGAGGGGAAUAACAAUGAGAAAUCAUUGCUAAUACCGCAUAUGCCGAGAGAAUCACAUGAUACAAUCGGGAAAGGAGUAAUCCGCUAGAAGAUGGCCUUGCGUCUGAUUAGAUAGUUGGUGGGGUAACGGCCUACCAAGUCGACGAUCAGUAGCCGGACUGAGAGGUUGAACGGCCACAUUGGGACUGAGAUACGGCCCAGACUCCUACGGGAGGCAGCAGUCGGGAAUAUUGCACAAUGGGCGAAAGCCUGAUGCAGCAACGCCGCGUGAAGGAUGAAGGUCUUCGGAUUGUAAACUUCUAUCAGCAGGGAAGAAUAAAUGACGGU